GACGAACCCGUACAAACGUUAUUCGGAAUUACUGGGCUUAAAGGGUGCGUAGGCGGCGCGGUAAGUUGGGUGUGAAAUCCCUCGGCUCAACCGAGGAAUUGCGCUCGAUACUGCCGUGCUUGAGGGAGACAGAGGUGAGCGGAACUUAGGGUGGAGCGGUGAAAUGCGUUGAUAUCCUAAGGAACACCAGUGGCGAAAGCGGCUCACUGGGUCUCUUCUGACGCUGAGGCACGAAAGCUAGGGGAGCGAACGGGAUUAGAACUCG
RNAcentral lists this ribosomal RNA (265 nucleotides) under uncultured bacterium. RNAcentral describes it as "partial 16S ribosomal RNA". It matches the Rfam family "Bacterial small subunit ribosomal RNA", at positions 524 to 789 of the family's 1533-position model. The record is from RNAcentral.